RNAcentral lists this long non-coding RNA (481 nucleotides) under Sorghum bicolor (sorghum). Its description in RNAcentral is "long non-coding RNA (SBIC_LNC013476)". Lineage: Eukaryota; Viridiplantae; Streptophyta; Magnoliopsida; Poales; Poaceae. The record is from RNAcentral.
UGAACUCUAAGAAAAAAAGGAGGAAGAAAGGCUCUUUGUUUACCAGGAAGAAGCAGAGGAACGAGCCGUCCAAAACACCUACUGCAAAGGAGAAAACUGAGGGCACGCCAUCAGCUGCAAAUACCCAAACUGAGAGCACGUCUUCUGCUGUAGCAAAGCAGAAAACCAAGGGCACAUGCUCUGCUGCAACAGGACCGCAAACCAUGACACCUCGCUCUGCUGGAAAGAAGCGCAAAUCUGUAAAUGAACCUUCAGUGAACUCAUUCUCAGCAUUGACGGAACAGAAAACUGGGAAGCCAUCCUCAGCAAUGAAGAGGAAAGAGGCAUCCAAAACACCUGCUGCAAAGGAGAAAACCGAGGGCACGCCGUCAGCUACAAAUACCCAAACAGAGAGCACGCCCUCUGCUGUAGCAAAGCAGAAAACAAAGGGCACACGCUCAGCUGCAACAGGGCUGGAAACCAUGACAGCUCGCUCUGCUGG